AUCUUUGCGCUCGAGGGCAAUGACAUAGUUAGUGAUUUUCUAAUCAAGCCACGUCCGUCGCUAGUUGAAAACUAUUUCCAAAUCCUAUCUUCGGCCUGGUUACGUCCUGACGGUCGAGAAUCUCCGAAAGGGUUCUCCUCAUUGGUGAAGCC
RNAcentral lists this small nuclear RNA (152 nucleotides) under Olea europaea subsp. europaea. RNAcentral describes it as "U4 spliceosomal RNA". It matches the Rfam family "U4 spliceosomal RNA". Rfam says of the family: U4 small nuclear RNA (U4 snRNA) is a component of the major U2-dependent spliceosome. The structure of U4 snRNA from yeast and human has been reported. Lineage: Eukaryota; Viridiplantae; Streptophyta; Magnoliopsida; Lamiales; Oleaceae. The record is from Rfam by way of RNAcentral.